AUCAUCUUCAAUAAAGACGCUUCUUAAUGUUGUUUUCAAUAAAGCCACUUCUGUAUAUUUUUAUACAGUUUCAAGCUGUGUUAUAAUAUCAUUCCAUCUUCUGAGGCAAAAAAAAAAAAGGCUUUUGGAAUAAUAUAUUUGUCGAGGAACCCCACGCCAUGUGACGAAAGCAAGCGCGGGCAUUUCGGAAAUAAGUUACAUCAAAAGGGUUCUGUAUUUUAAGAAUAAGGGAAUAUCUCUGAAGUGUGAGCCAAGUUGACAUAAUCAGCCAUGCUGGAUGGGGCUCAGUUUGUUGAGGCGUUGUCACGGUUGGGUUACCCACGGGCGUCUGUGCUGAAAGGUUCAGAGUUUGACUGGUUAUUUGACACAGCACCAGAUAACCUGCACCUUUUACGUGUCGUCUGCAACCGCCUGAACUGCAGCAAUGUUGUAACGCCAGAAGAAUUGCAAGCGUACAAGGCACUCCAGGAGUCCGGGAAGCCCAUACUGGAUGAGGUGACACUGGGUGAGCUGCUUAAAACCUGUUUACCUGUAGAUGGAGGUGUAGUGUCACAGGGCUGUUCUGCGCUGUGUGGAGGGGGAAAUGUAACAAUCGAGGACCUCGAGACAGAACUUCAAGCUCUCCGCAAGGAAAAGCAGCUAAAACAACGCAGACUCAAUAAGCUGCAGGUGUUGGCUACCAGCUGGGUUGCAAACUCCUCUGCAUCCCAAGCACUGCUGCAGGAAGGAGGCUCUACAGUAAAGGAUGCCAACUCUGCCUUGGCAGCUGAAAACGCAUACACCAACUCAGCUGUGGAGAACCUGUCAAAAGAGACCACCAAACUGGCUGGCUUUUUCCAAACUGACCCUCAUUACCUAAGAAGUAAAGAUGGAGCUGCUCCACCAUUAGUUACUCAACCAGUGCUCCUCUCUCAGGUGUCUCUAGAGCCUUUCCUCCAGCAACAGGAGCAAUUCACCAAAGUGUUGACUGCCUACACUCAGCGUCAGUUCUUUCAGGGCAUCUCAAACAUGAUGGAGACCUCCACAUCCAAUCGCUGCCAGCUGACCAGUCUGAGCUGUUGCAGUGAGCAUGAGGAAGAAGAGGAUGAGGGACUAGUGGAGCUCAGGGAGAAGGAGAUGGCACAACUGCAGUGGGCAUACAUAGUGGCACAGUACCAGCUGGUGAAAGAGAGGGCAAAGGAGCAUGGUGACAAGGCAGCAAAGGAGUGGCUCAUCCAGCGACUGAACAGCAGCACAGAGUCUCUGUGCUACUCAAAGGUGAGCAGGCUUGAGUCUGAUCUACACUCUGAGAUCCUCUCAAUUCAGUCUGAAACUCAGUCCCUUAUGUUAGACCCAGUCCGCUCUGCUUUACGAGACUGUGCCUGCCUCCUUAAUAUCCCAGUGGUGCGUGGUGACCUCGCUCUUCAGUUAGCCAGGCAAAAUUACUGCACCUCCAGGCAAACAGAAGUUUGUGACCAGCUUCUCCGUCAGAAGGCCUUCUUCGAAGUUGUGCAUCUGGCCCAGGAUGCAGAGCUCCUUAUGGGGAAGAGGGUGAUGAAGCAGCUUGAGGAAAUACUGAAGAGACUGGAGGGGGCAGCAGAAGCUGCUGCUCAGAGAGAAAACAUUCUGACACAACCCCACCUAACUCAAGUGCCUUACCUUGGUUCUAAUGCUAAACAACAGGUCAUCAGCUCCAAGGACACAGCCUUUAGCAGGUUGCUGCAGAUGCUUGAGUUAGGUAAGACCCCCACGGAGAGGGAGAAUCCAUUCCAAACCUAUGGUAGGCUGGAAACAGCGGCCUUUAAACUACAGCAGGAUUUGGUCACAGUACAAGAGGCUUUGGAUGGGGCCAGACGAGAGCAAGCCUAUACUGGAGCUCGGAUAGAAAGUGACCGAGAUGUGCUCAACCAAGUGGCAUACUCAGACAUUGUGCAGCCUCUUCUGAGGCCGCAGGUAUGUGCCAUAGCCACACCUGCACUGGAGCUCUGCCCUCAUGCACAGGAGCUCACAAUAGUUCUAGAUGAGUUGGAGGUCAAGCAGAAGACCUUGUACACAUCUCUUCAGGACAUAGUCUGUGACUUGAAGGCCAAACGAGGAAGGCUUGAAUGCAGUGCUACCCUGAGGAGAGAGAGGGAACUGUAUGUUUAUUUCCAUCUGGACUCAAGACAGCUCAGAAAGGCGGUGAGAGAUAUAGAGGCUCAAGCAGGGGUUAUGUAGACUCAGAAUGUAGACCGAUCUCCUUUCUCUACUCCAGCCUACGAUACAGAGGUCCCUGCUGCAAAAAAAAAAUUAUGUUAUAUGCAGAUAAGGACAUGGACCAUUGUUGCUUCUGUUAUGGAUCUCCGUAUAUCUUAUAUACUAAUUUUAUUAUUCUUUAUUUUUACUAUCUGCUAGAAGUUAAUGUUCUACCUACUGUUUCACAUAAUUUUGCAUUUGUACUUUAACAAAUGUGCUGCUUCUUGUAUAAAUCAUGUUUUUUGGUUGAUUAACAGUUGUAUCUUUGUGAAUAAACAAUUUGUAAUCUCAAUGUUUGAGCAAAUCUUUUUGUGUGAAAGUGUUUUUCAAACUUUUUAUAAAUGCAGUUUGAUUUUUUGCUUCAAUGCAUUUUAAAGAAGGCCACCUGAGAAACACCAGCCGACUACAUGUAUUAUAUUUGGAAGAGUUUAACAGCAGCCAAUUAUUGUGAUGCAUGUGCACAUUUGCUCCAUUUGAUGUCAGAUUUGAAUCUAGCACCAUCUGCUUAGAAUGCACUGUAUGUUUCUGCAUGUGUGUCUACAGGGUAAAGACAGACUAGGAGAUCAACAAAAAUGAGAUGGAGUGCUACCUCUGCAGCAGUUUGAACGCAGCACCUCUCUCUGCAGCUGCACAGAGCAUCAUAGCAGCCCUUCGGGUCCAGUAUAUGCACAGAACAAACAGACAGCUAGUGAUUCAGAAACAGAACAUUCUAACAGUAUUAGUAACUUGAGGCUAUUUAUUUUAUUGGCUAUGAAUUUUAUUGGUUAUUAACUUUUGAGCUAGGCUUGGUGACUUUGAGAAACUAGUUCACAAACAGGUGUUAAAAACUGUCUAAAUGUUUUUCUGUCUGAGGAAAUAACUUAUUUACAAUUACAGCCUCUGGUAGAGGGUUCAGCCUGUCUCCACAGCAGGACAGAGAUGACACAAAUCAAGAUUUGUGUGCAGGGAAAAGCAGAGACCUGGAUUAUAAUAAUCUGGUGGAAGAGUCAAACCACAUAAAGUUAAAGGAUGCGACCAGUGAUGCGAGGUUCUCUCCAGCCAGAUGAGAAUAAAAUCCUGAUGCCUGUUGGAGAAAGAGAUGUUAAGAUGGAGUCCACAGCACAGCAUCCAGCCCUACUCUAAAGUAAUGUACUCAGUCCUGGAUGUCUUAUGUCAUCAGAGAUGUUUUUGUUUGUUUUUUCAGAUCCCAAUAUUGAUCUUACUUAUUUUCCACUUUGAUUUUAUUAAUUGAAUCAAAUUUUUUAGAUGUUUGACAUUUGAUAACAAUAUGAUUAAGAGAGAGGAAAAAAAAUAGGACUGGGAAACACUAA
Cyprinus carpio (common carp) is the source of this 3524-nucleotide RNA transcript. It is a transcript of the gene named HAUS augmin-like complex subunit 3, with no coding region annotated. Lineage: Eukaryota; Metazoa; Chordata; Actinopteri; Cypriniformes; Cyprinidae. The transcript has 7 exons. The record is from RefSeq and is a predicted model, not a curated record.